This is a long non-coding RNA of Oreochromis aureus, 514 nucleotides long. NCBI's taxonomy places the organism in Eukaryota, Metazoa, Chordata, Actinopteri, Cichliformes, Cichlidae. The record is from Ensembl.
GGACGAAUAAAAGGGACAAAUUAUAUCACAGUAGAAAGUAACUCAGUCAUCAUUCAGGAAACUGGACAUGGAGUGAAGGUCACUGUAACAGCAGACAGCACAACUAUACCAGCAGGGGGCAGUGUGACACUGACCUGUGAUGUGAAACACUCUGCUGACUUAAAAUAUGAGUGGGUCAGAGAAACCUCAUCUGCAGUGAAGUCCACAGAAGCUGUUGGAUCAGAUAAAGUGAUCAAGAUCUCUAAAGGAGGAAAAUACCAAUGCAGAGGAUGGAGAACAGACACAACUUCACUCAUAGCACAAAGUGAUCCAGUCACCAUUCAGGAAACUGUUACUGGGUGAUCAGACCUCUGUACUGGUGUUAGUGACUCAGUCCUGGUAGAAAACUGGUCACAGGUUUCACUGACUGCACACAGACACUCAGACAUGGCAAAGCUCCUGAUAAGCUAAGACAUGGUCACAACCUGUGAAGCAAUGAAUUCUUUAAACAUUUCAUUGAUACAAUAAUGGUGCA